Molecule: ribosomal RNA, 440 nt
Filed under: uncultured bacterium
Lineage: Bacteria
Description: partial 16S ribosomal RNA
Rfam family: Bacterial small subunit ribosomal RNA
Source: RNAcentral
CCUACGGGAGGCAGCAGUAGGGAAUUUUGCGCAAUGGGCGAAAGCCUGACGCAGCAACGUCGCGUGAACGAGACGCCCUCCGUGGUGUAUAGUUUUGUCAUUUGGGACGAUAAAUUACGGCACCCACAGAGUAAUCACCGGCUCAAUCCGUGACAGCAGCCGCGGUCACACGGAGGGUGCAAGCGUUGUCCGGAAUCUUUGGGCGUAAAGGGUUCGUAGGCGGGAUGUAAGGUCAGGUGUUAAAGGCGCAGGCUCAACCUGUGUAUGGCACUUGAUACUUGCGCGCUGGAGUGCGGUAGAGGUAAAGGGAAUUCCUGGUGUAGCGGUGAAAUGCUUAGAUAUCAGGAGGAACAUCGGUGGCGUAAGCGCUUUACUGGGGCGUAAUUGACGCUGAGGAACGAAAGCGAGGGUAGCAAAUGGGAUUAGAUACCCCGGUAGUC